RNA transcript from Phragmites australis (common reed), 2255 nucleotides. It is a transcript of the gene named carbon catabolite repressor protein 4 homolog 3-like, with no coding region annotated. The transcript is spliced from 14 exons. NCBI's taxonomy places the organism in Eukaryota, Viridiplantae, Streptophyta, Magnoliopsida, Poales, Poaceae. The record is from RefSeq and is a predicted model, not a curated record.
AUUCUGACAAUCUAUACACAUGAAGUCAGGAACCCGAGCGGCGGAUUUCAGAAUCAAACCGGCCGUCAAGUUUCCUUCACCUCUCUCCCCUCACACCGCCGCGAAUGGCAUCCACCGCUCCGCGCGCGAGCCUUUCGCCGCCGGCGCCUGCCUCCCAACCCCUGAGGAAGCGCGGGCGCUCGCCCCCCGCCCCAGGAAGCGCGGCGUCGUGGUGCGCGUCCGCCGAGAACGCUGCGCCCCGCGACCACCGCCGCCGCUGGGAGAGGCCCGAGCGUGCCCCUGGCCGCAUCUGGCAGCGGUUCCGCGCGCCGCAGUCUCCCUUGCCCUCCUCCAGGCUCUGGGUUUCGUCGGAGGACUCCUCAACCUCCUCCUCCCCCGGAGUGCUUGUCCUUUGUGUUUGCUAGAUGCGUGCACAGUCAUGUCAUACAACAUCUUGGCCGAUUACAAUGCGCGGAACCAUCCUGACCUUUAUUGGGAUGUCCCUUGGGAUGCGAUGAGGUGGGAUUCAAGGAGGCGUCUUAUUGUCCGUGAAAUUAGGCACUGGGACCCUGACUUCGUUUGUCUUCAGGAGGUGGAUAGGUUUCGAGACAUUGCUGCAGAAAUGAAGAACAGAGGGUAUGAAGGUAUAUUUCAGGGGCGAACUGGGGAUGCUAGAGAUGGAUGUGCCACUUUUUGGAAGUCAAAACGGUUGCGUCUGCUUGAGGAAGAUAGUAUUGACUUUAGUGAAUUCAAUCUGCGAAAUAAUGUUGCUCAAAUAUGUGUUUUCGAGCUUAAUGGAAAACAGAAAUUAGUACUCGGGAAUAUACAUGUUUUGUUUAAUCCAAAGCGGGGGGAUAUAAAACUGGGCCAGAUUCGCAUGCUACUUGAGAAGGCAAAUACACUUGCUGAAAAAUGGGAUGAAAUUCCUAUUGUGCUUGCUGGUGAUUUCAACAGCACACCUGAUAGUGCCAUCUACAAGUUCUUGUCGACAAUGAAGCUGAACAUUUCUUUGCAUGAUAGAAGGCUGUUAUCUGGACUUGAUAGCUCUGAACUUGGUCUAUACGAGCUUUGUAGUUUAUUCAAGUACCAGUGGAGCGAUGAAGAAGUGAGAAACGCGACAGGGUAUUCAAAUGUCAUGGUCGCUGAACAUCCGUUGAACCUCUGUAGUUCUUAUGCUAUGUUAAAGGGAAAUUCAAACAAUAGGGGUCUUCAUGGUGAACCCCUAGCAACUUCCUUUCACAAGAAGUUUCUCGGCACUGUUGAUUAUCUGUGGUACACUCCUGGACUUGAAUGCUCGAGAGUUUUGGACACGUUACCUAUAGGUGUUUUGAGGAGAACAAGGGGUCUUCCAACCAGGGAAAUCGGCAGUGAUCACUUGCCCCUUGUUGCUGAAUUCACCUUCACGGAAUCAGUUGACGAUGAGUCUGAGAAAGAAUAUGAGUCUGAGCAAGAUCACGAGUGUGAACAAGAAGUGAGCACAGCGCAACACAUAUAUUUCUCAGAUAGUGAUUCCGGUUGAAUUGAGUGAUUCAGUUGGUAGAAAAGGUUCAAGAUAAAUUAUUCAGGAACAGGGAGCACAGUGCAUCAGAAAAUUGCACCGCAUUUUUCAUGAUCCAGAAACAUAAGUUCUCCAGCUUUCAUACGGCUCAUUGUCUUCAGUGCACAGGGAAUUUCGGACACCUUUGUCUGUGUAGUUUCUGUUGGCGAGGCAAAUCCUCCCGCUGAGGGUGCCAAAUGGAGCAGAAUCAGGGCAUGUCAGCAAUAUAUUUUUGAACUGCAUGGCGGUAAUUCUCAAUCUGUAGCACAAUAAACGAGGUUUAUUUUGGAACUACAGGGCCGAGAAACAUGAGUACCAAGUGGACCAUGCAUCCACAUUCCUCAGUCUAGUGUUGCCAACCAAAUCAGCCCCGGGGAAUGGGAGGCCAUCGAUGGAUUUCCAAGAUAGGGAGGCAGCCAAUGGGAGCGAAGCAUCCUGCCACGUGUUUACUCAUCAUUCAGCAUGAGAGGACAGCAUGGCACGUAGCAACCAGCCAGCCAGCCAGACGAUACCAGACACGGGAACAAGUGAGCGUGCACAACAGUCGUCCCAGUUUGGGUCGAUAGCAGCAGCGCACCAGAGAGCAAAAGGAGAGGCCGAGAAGAAGUAGCCAGCGAUAAGAGUAGGGCGACAGCUAGCUGAGCCACUGCUGGCAUGGCGGCCACGGCGUACUCCGUGGCGCUCCUCGGCGGCGCACGCCUCCCCGCCGCUCCGCGCUCCGCUCUUCUCCCGCGCCGCA